CAGUAGCCACGGUAAUACGGAGGGUGCAAGCGUUAAUCGGAAUUACUGGGCGUAAAGCGCACGCAGGCGGUCUGACAAGUCAGAUGUGAAAUCCCCGGGCUUAACCUGGGAACUGCAUUUGAAACUGUCAGGCUGGAGUCUUGUAGAGGGGGGUAGAAUUCCAGGUGUAGCGGUGAAAUGCGUAGAGAUCUGGAGGAAUACCGGUGGCGAAGGCGGCCCCCUGGACAAAGACUGACGCUCAGGUGCGAAAGCGUGGGGAGCAAACAGGAUUAGAUACCCGCGUAGUCCCUGUCUCUUAUAC
RNAcentral lists this ribosomal RNA (301 nucleotides) under uncultured bacterium. Its description in RNAcentral is "partial 16S ribosomal RNA". It matches the Rfam family "Bacterial small subunit ribosomal RNA", at positions 509 to 807 of the family's 1533-position model. The record is from RNAcentral.